Molecule: long non-coding RNA, 585 nt
Organism: Oreochromis niloticus (Nile tilapia)
Lineage: Eukaryota; Metazoa; Chordata; Actinopteri; Cichliformes; Cichlidae
Exons: 2
Source: RefSeq, a predicted model, not a curated record
UUAAGGCGUACAGCUGUGACAUUUGUGGAAAAACUUUCAGCCGGAUAGGGAGCCGAAAUACACACCUACGCAUUCACACCAGACAUGAUGUGUACAGCUGUGAUCAGUGUGGUAAACAGUUUACUACAAACACAGAGUUACGACGUCACAUGUUUACCCACACUGAGGAACGACCUUAUAAAUGUGACCUGUGUGAGAAGACUUUUAAAUCUCCACGUUGCCUGAGACGACACCAACAGAUCCACACCAGAAAGACUCUACAAGUGCAGUUAGUGUGAGAAGCAGAGCGACACAGAUGGAUCAAGUUCUCAACCCUGUCAUCGCUGUGGGAAAGACUUUUGUUGUGACCUUUGUGGAAAAACUUUAAGUCAUUGAAGGACUCUGAAAAUACAUCAACGUAGACACACUGGAGACAAAAUGAACUACUGUAAAGAAUGCGGGAGAGGCUUCACCACUUCAAAGGACUUCAAACAAUAUGAACUCCUUCACAGUGGCGUUAAAAAGCAUGUCUGCGAUCAGUGUGGGUCAUCCUUCAUCAGUGCACGUCAGCUUGAAAAGCAUAAACGAGUCCACACAUGAGAGAAA